Molecule: long non-coding RNA, 2968 nt
Filed under: Sorghum bicolor (sorghum)
Lineage: Eukaryota; Viridiplantae; Streptophyta; Magnoliopsida; Poales; Poaceae
Description: long non-coding RNA (SBIC_LNC017253)
Source: RNAcentral
GCUUCUGGAGUCUUCUAGAUGUAAGAUAAUUGUGCGGCACGUUAAUAUCUCUAUGUAAUCCCGACGUGUGGGCCUUUCUUCCGUAUUUCCUAAUAACCCCCUGCAGAAAUAGACAAACACCAAAACUCGUGGAAUUCUGUCAGAUAAAACCCUAAGUCUAGAUGUUGAUUUCAUUUGGAUCCUUUUCUUUAUUUAUUUGAUAAUUAAAUUUGAUACUUAAGGACCGUCAACAAACUCCCCCAAGCUUACCUCUUGCUCGUCCCUGAGCAAGGAUAGACUCAGCUAUGGAUCAUAAGUUGUUGCAAUAUCUUAAAAAUUGACGGUACACAUGCUUUUUAAAUAAGAUCUCAUCUCUGGGUUAGAGUGAACUGUCAAGACUUAAAACUUACUUACUUUACCUACACCAUGGGACUUGUAACUGUCACUUCUGUCUUGAGUAGUUAAAAGAUAGAACAGUCUAGCCAAGUGCCAUGUCUCUUAUUCUUGAUCAGCUAUAGCUCUGAAGUUUUUGCAGAUUUUCAAAUAAAACUUAGAGAUUCCUUGUAUGAUUCUCUCAGAUCUCUCUUUUGUGGUAUUUCUGGAUCCUUACCAAGGCAGUGAUGGUAUAUGCCUUCUCUCAAGAUAUGUAGUAUUUAUGGUAUAAAGCAUAGUGACAUUGUCUUCUCUCUCACCCUACUCUAAUAAGGCUUUUAAUAUCUGGAGCUCAUAGGUGGGAGAUAAAGUAUACAUACUUACAAGACAUUUAUUGUAUAGUCAAACCAUGGAUCCAAAGAAACAAAUCAAUAAGUCAAAUCAAGAUGUGCAUAUGUGGCGAAUGAAUGGUGUAUGGUGAUGAUGGUGAUAACAAUGGUGAAAGUCUAAUUCUACUUUGCUCUUUUGAGGGGAUACAUACCUUCCUUGCUUUCUGAAAUUUUAUGAGGAGAAUGAGAUGCUCUAUCUUUUUUUUCUUUUCUCUCAGGUGGGUAUCUUGUACCCCUAAUUCUACUGUCGGACACUUGUCCAUUUUUACCUCUCGUCUCACUUUUUCUUUUCUUUCGAGGUUCCGGGCACUUACCCCUUUUUAUUUCCUCGUAUUUUCUUUUUUUUAGAGCACUCAUCUCAUGAGAUAAUAUAGUUGUGGUAGUAAAAAGAUAACUUGAGCAUUUAUUUCCCAGGGGAAAAACAGAAAUAUUUUUGGUUAUUCUCUCCCGGAUUGGGAGUAGAAUAUUUUUGGGUGAUUCUGGAGAUGGACAUGGUUGGAUAUAUGUGGAUGGUAUUUCCGGAGUAGAAGUAGCAUAUAUGAGUGAACGUGCAAGUGAAAUCUUGAUUUAACCACAUGACAAGCUCCUAAGGGUCUACACAGCUUGACCACACUCAAUGCUCAUAAGCAGUAAAUAGUACAUGUAUGGCUCAAAGUCUAGCAAGCAUGUAUAUAUGGCUGUGGUAGGAAUUUAAACUCUCAUCAUACAGGAACUCAUCAUGCAACAUUUUAAAGAUUUUCAAAGAUAAAAUUCUCCAGAAUUCUAGCAUCUCUAGGAACAGAUAAACAGCAGCUCAACCUUCCCAUAUCAUAUCCGUUAACAACUUAGACUUCAGAUCAAGUUUUCAUCCCACAAGUUUAGGUCUAGAGCAAGCUUUAAAUUAUAACAGUUAUAUCUAAACUUGAGAGAGAACUUAAAAUGUGCAAAUUAGGCAGAGCAACUAUUCAUCAUAUCCAUGCUAGAGUUUUAUUUAGGUACAGAUUAGCAUAGCCACUUUAUUUAUUUAUUAAACACACUAAGCAAAAGGCAAAUAUAUAAGUAUAAGCAUAAAAUCUUUAUUUGUUUUUUCAUAAUUAUGUAUAUCUAUAUUUUAAUAUAGUAUAAGUAUAAAGAUAGAUAGAAAUACUUAGGGGGAUAAAUGAGGGUGCUCUCCCCCAAGCUGAAUUUUGACGUAAUUUCCCUUGAUGUAGCUAGUAGGUGGCAAAGGAGUAUUUGAAAGUCAGCAGCAUUCUAACAGCGAUUAGAAUGUCCUCCGUCUGCUAGUCUUCUUAAUUCAUAGAUUCUGUGGAGCUCAAAUAGACAACAAAGCUUGUGGAACUGAUUAAGUGUUAGCAUAAAUAUCUAGCCUUUAUCAUGUUGAGACUCUUUAAUAAUUGUUACUCCUUGUUUUUAUAUUUUCAUUUUAUAAAGCAGAAAAAUAUUUAUUUUAUUUUUAUGCCACCACAGUAAAUGUACUGAUGGGUUUUAUGCCACUCGUAUACUCACGUGGGGCUUACUGUUUUUUCACAUUUUUAUUUUAUUUUUAAGAUAGUAUGAACAUGAUUAACUAAGUAAACUAGUUGAAAUAAUUGAAAGGGAAAGGAUAACUACCAAGUUUACCUCUUGGCAAGGCGUUCAGUGUUUUCAAGUCCUCCGAACGGGACUCUCCAUUUUCUCAAUUGUCCUGGGAUUCGUUGGGUGGCGGAGUCGGUACUUCCGGCGGUGCCUCCUCUUCACGUAUAGUUAUCUUCUCUUUCCACACCUGACUCAGUGCUUCGGUCUCCUCGCAAAACGUCUUGUAGAUGUAAGAUAAUUGUGCGGCACGUUAAUAUCUCUAUGUAAUCCCGACGUGUGGGCCUUUCUUCCGUAUUUCCUGAUAACCCCCUGCAGAAAUAGACAAACACCAAAACUCGUGGAAUUCUGUCAGAUAAAACCCCAAGUCUAGAUGUUGAUUUCAUUUGGAUCCUUUUCUUUAUUUAUUUGAUAAUUAAAUUUGAUACUUAAGGACCGUCAACAAUAAGCUUGAUAAUCCCUUUGUUAGAUGCCUCGGCCUGCCCAUUAGCUUGAGCAUAGUAAGGAGAAGAAUUUAAUACUUUAAUUCCCAUACCGAUUGCAAAUUCAUCAAACUCCCCCGAUGUGAACAUAGUGCCCUGAUCGGUAGUAAUUGUCUGAGGAAUUCCAAAUCGGUAAAUGAUGUGCUCUUUCACAAAAUCAAUCAUAUUGGCCGAUGUAACUUUCUUCAAGGGAAU